UAGGGAAUCUUCGGCAAUGGGGGGAACCCUGACCGAGCAACGCCGCGUGAGUGAAGAAGGUUUUCGGAUCGUAAAGCUCUGUUGUUAAGGAAGAACGAGUGUGAGAAUGGAAAGUUCAUGCUGUGACGGUACUUAACCAGAAAGGGACGGCUAACUACGUGCCAGCAGCCGCGGUAAUACGUAGGUCCCGAGCGUUGUCCGGAUUUAUUGGGCGUAAAGCGAGCGAAGGCGGUUAGAAAAGUCUGAAGUGAAAGGCAGUGGCUCAACCAUUGUAGGCUUUGGAAACUGUUUAACUUGAGUGCAGAAGGGGAGAGUGGAAUUCCAUGUGUAGCGGUGAAAUGCGUAGAUAUAUGGAGGAACACCGGUGGCGAAAGCGGCUCUCUGGUCUGUAACUGACGCUGAGGCUCGAAAGCGUGGGGAGCGAACAGG
This 429-nucleotide ribosomal RNA is filed under the name Verrucomicrobiota bacterium. Its description in RNAcentral is "Verrucomicrobia bacterium partial 16S ribosomal RNA". It matches the Rfam family "Bacterial small subunit ribosomal RNA", at positions 355 to 776 of the family's 1533-position model. Lineage: Bacteria; Pseudomonadati; Verrucomicrobiota. The record is from RNAcentral.